This 75-nucleotide transfer RNA is filed under the name Desulfosporomusa polytropa. RNAcentral's name for it is "tRNA-Val". It matches the Rfam family "tRNA". From Rfam's summary of the family: Transfer RNA (tRNA) molecules are approximately 80 nucleotides in length. Their secondary structure includes four short double-helical elements and three loops (D, anti-codon, and T loops). RNAcentral also lists the same sequence under 2 other names. Lineage: Bacteria; Bacillati; Bacillota; Negativicutes; Selenomonadales; Sporomusaceae. The record is from RNAcentral.
GGGGCAUUAGCUCAGUGGGAGAGCGCUUGAUUCACAUUCAAGAGGUCGCCGGUUCGAAACCAGCAUGCCCCACCA